AUCCAAAAACGUGCAAAGAAGGAUUGAUUCCUUCUGUGUUCUAACUCAAUCACUAAACUUGUAAGAUACAGGGCCAGGACUCAAGUGGCAUCAUGGUGAAAACCAUUACAUAAUUUAUU
Long non-coding RNA from Xenia sp. Carnegie-2017, 119 nucleotides. RefSeq lists it as uncharacterized. NCBI's taxonomy places the organism in Eukaryota, Metazoa, Cnidaria, Anthozoa, Malacalcyonacea, Xeniidae. The record is from RefSeq and is a predicted model, not a curated record. The transcript is spliced from 3 exons.